This 374-nucleotide ribosomal RNA is filed under the name uncultured Desulfobulbus sp. RNAcentral describes it as "bacterial SSU rRNA". It matches the Rfam family "Bacterial small subunit ribosomal RNA", at positions 1012 to 1382 of the family's 1533-position model. The record is from RNAcentral. Lineage: Bacteria; Pseudomonadati; Thermodesulfobacteriota; Desulfobulbia; Desulfobulbales; Desulfobulbaceae.
GGCUUCCAUCUGGAAGGAAUCUGGAGGACAGGUGCUGCAUGGCUGUCGUCAGCUCGUGUCGUGAGAUGUUGGGUUAAGUCCCGCAACGAGCGCAACCCUUGCCUUUAGUUGCCAGCAGUUCGGCUGGGCACUCUAAAGGGACUGCCGGUGUUAAACCGGAGGAAGGUGGGGAUGACGUCAAGUCCUCAUGGCCUUUAUGACCAGGGCUACACACGUACUACAAUGGCCGAUACAAAGGGCAGCGCACUGCGAGGUGAAGCCAAUCCCGUAAAAUCGGUCUCAGUCCGGAUUGGAGUCUGCAACUCGACUCCAUGAAGUUGGAAUCGCUAGUAAUCGUGGAUCAGCAUGCCACGGUGAAUACGUUCCCGGGCCUU